GGUCUGAUAGCGCCACUGCUGGAGCACUGCACCGGCGUUGCAGAGGUCAGGGUUCAAAUCCCUGUUCAGGCCU
RNAcentral lists this transfer RNA (73 nucleotides) under Acropora cervicornis. Its description in RNAcentral is "tRNA-Ala". It matches the Rfam family "tRNA". Rfam says of the family: Transfer RNA (tRNA) molecules are approximately 80 nucleotides in length. The record is from RNAcentral. Lineage: Eukaryota; Metazoa; Cnidaria; Anthozoa; Scleractinia; Acroporidae.